This 1039-nucleotide ribosomal RNA is filed under the name Escherichia coli. RNAcentral's name for it is "partial 23S ribosomal RNA". It matches the Rfam family "Bacterial large subunit ribosomal RNA", at positions 158 to 1238 of the family's 2925-position model. Lineage: Bacteria; Pseudomonadati; Pseudomonadota; Gammaproteobacteria; Enterobacterales; Enterobacteriaceae. The record is from RNAcentral.
CUGAAUCCAUAGGUUAAUGAGGCGAACCGGGGGAACUGAAACAUCUAAGUACCCCGAGGAAAAGAAAUCAACCGAGAUUCCCCCAGUAGCGGCGAGCGAACGGGGAGGAGCCCAGAGCCUGAAUCAGUGUGUGUGUUAGUGGAAGCGUCUGGAAAGGCGCGCGAUACAGGGUGACAGCCCCGUACACAAAAAUGCACAUACUGUGAGCUCGAUGAGUAGGGCGGGACACGUGGUAUCCUGUCUGAAUAUGGGGGGACCAUCCUCCAAGGCUAAAUACUCCUGACUGACCGAUAGUGAACCAGUACCGUGAGGGAAAGGCGAAAAGAACCCCGGCGAGGGGAGUGAAAAAGAACCUGAAACCGUGUACGUACAAGCAGUGGGAGCCUCUUAAUGGGGUGACUGCGUACCUUUUGUAUAAUGGGUCAGCGACUUAUAUUCUGUAGCAAGGUUAACCGAAUAGGGGAGCCGAAGGGAAACCGAGUCUUAACUGGGCGUUAAGUUGCAGGGUAUAGACCCGAAACCCGGUGAUCUAGCCAUGGGCAGGUUGAAGGUUGGGUAACACUAACUGGAGGACCGAACCGACUAAUGUUGAAAAAUUAGCGGAUGACUUGUGGCUGGGGGUGAAAGGCCAAUCAAACCGGGAGAUAGCUGGUUCUCCCCGAAAGCUAUUUAGGUAGCGCCUCGUGAAUUCAUCUCCGGGGGUAGAGCACUGUUUCGGCAAGGGGGUCAUCCCGACUUACCAACCCGAUGCAAACUGCGAAUACCGGAGAAUGUUAUCACGGGAGACACACGGCGGGUGCUAACGUCCGUCGUGAAGAGGGAAACAACCCAGACCGCCAGCUAAGGUCCCAAAGUCAUGGUUAAGUGGGAAACGAUGUGGGAAGGCCCAGACAGCCAGGAUGUUGGCUUAGAAGCAGCCAUCAUUUAAAGAAAGCGUAAUAGCUCACUGGUCGAGUCGGCCUGCGCGGAAGAUGUAACGGGGCUAAACCAUGCACCGAAGCUGCGGCAGCGACACUAUGUGUUGUUGGGUAGGGGAGCG